CUGUCUCUGGGAUGUUCGCCAGCCGGUCUGAUUCCCCUGAGCCGAUAUCAUCUCUUUAGGAUGGUGUUCUGCAUAUUUAGAGCGUAUGCCUACCCCGAGUAGGAAACCCAGCAAGUAUGC
Molecule: small RNA, 120 nt
Filed under: Acinetobacter baumannii
Lineage: Bacteria; Pseudomonadati; Pseudomonadota; Gammaproteobacteria; Moraxellales; Moraxellaceae
Description: partial 6S RNA
Rfam family: 6S / SsrS RNA
About the family: E. coli 6S RNA was the first non coding RNA to be sequenced, but its function was unknown until recently. It consists of 184 nucleotides that fold into an extended hairpin structure with a large single-stranded internal bulge. The 6S RNA specifically associates with RNA polymerase holoenzyme containing the sigma70 specificity factor.
Source: RNAcentral